UGAUACCUACGGGGGGCAGCAGUAGGGAAUCUUCCACAAUGGGCGAAAGCCUGAUGGAGCAACGCCGCGUGGGUGAAGAAGGUCUUCGGAUCGUAAAGUUCUGUUGAAGGGGAAAAAGAGCGGAGAGAGGAAAUGAACUCCGAUUGAUAUUACCCUUCGAGGAAGUCACGGCUAACUACGUGCCAGCAGCCGCGGUAAUACGUAGGUGGCGAGCGUUAUCCGGAAUGAUUGGGCGUAAAGGGUGCGUAGGCGGCCUGCUAAGUCUGGAGUGAAAGGUACCGGCUCAACCGGUACAGGCUCUGGAA
Molecule: ribosomal RNA, 305 nt
Filed under: uncultured bacterium
Lineage: Bacteria
Description: bacterial SSU rRNA
Rfam family: Bacterial small subunit ribosomal RNA
Source: RNAcentral